UACGUAGGCAGCGAGCGUUGUUCGGAGUUACUGGGCGUAAAGAGUGCGUAGGCGGUUUUCUAAGUUUGGUGUGAAAUCUCCCGGCUCAACUGGGAGGGUGCGCCGAAGACUGGAAGGCUUGAGUAUGGGAGAGGUAAGCGGAAUUCCUGGUGUAGCGGUGAAAUGCGUAGAUAUCUGGAGGAACACCGGUGGCGAAGGCGGCGUCCUGGACCAACACUGACACUGAGGAGCGAAAGCCAGGGGAGCAAACGGG
RNAcentral lists this ribosomal RNA (253 nucleotides) under uncultured bacterium. RNAcentral's name for it is "partial 16S ribosomal RNA". It matches the Rfam family "Bacterial small subunit ribosomal RNA", at positions 524 to 776 of the family's 1533-position model. The record is from RNAcentral.